This 600-nucleotide ribosomal RNA is filed under the name uncultured bacterium. Its description in RNAcentral is "partial 16S ribosomal RNA". The stretch from base 1 to 254 matches the Rfam family "Bacterial small subunit ribosomal RNA", at positions 104 to 351 of the family's 1533-position model. The record is from RNAcentral.
GGGUGCGGAACACGUGUGCACUGCCUUUAUCUGGGGGAUAGCCUUUCGAAAGGAAGAUUAAUACCCCAUAAUAUGUUGAAUGGCAUCAUUCGACAUUGAAAACUCCGGUGGAUAGAGAUGGGCACGCGCAAGACUUCAGAUAGUUGGCUGAGGUACGGCUCACCAAGUCUAACGAUCUUCAGGGGCCUGAAAGGGUGACUCCCCCCACACUGGUCACUGACCACCACGGGACCGAAUUCCUCAACGGGAGGCAGUCAGCUGGAGGCAAUCAUCUGGGGACAACUGGGGCGUUCGAUCCACGCCCCUCGCAUCUCCCAAGGCCAAUUCCCCCGGGUUCGAAUCGGACGACUCUUGGCCCUAUUGGGGGUUUGGAAAACUCCCCAUCGGGCACAUAAGGGGGAUCUAAAAACUUACACCUUCGUGGAACGAAGUCUAAGCUUGAAGCGGGUAAAUUCAAUCGACGAGGAACAUUUAAGGACGCNAACCCGGGGGGAUAUACAAAAUCCUCACCGGGGGUGGCCCAAAAGCCAAGCCCCGGCGGGGGAAAAAACAUCACGGGGGACACGCGCCGCUCGUGACAAAANGCGGGCUUAACUCUCC